Molecule: long non-coding RNA, 1379 nt
Filed under: Oryctolagus cuniculus (rabbit)
Lineage: Eukaryota; Metazoa; Chordata; Mammalia; Lagomorpha; Leporidae
Description: lncRNA (ENSOCUG00000038648.1)
Source: RNAcentral
GAAGUUAUGAAAUAUUUAGCAAGCACUGGAAAUAAGUACACAGCUUAAAUGAGAAUGCAACUAAAAGGGUACGGAGGGGAAAUCUUUAUAGAUUUAAAAGCAUGUCUUUGGAAACAAGAAAGAUUGAAAAUUAAUGAACUAAGCUCUAACUAAAGAAGCCUGGGAAUAACAUAAAAUAAAAAUAAAAAUAUCUUCAAAGAAAACAAUAGGCAUAGAAAAGAUGAGAAAAUGCACAGACACGUGGGCAGGAUUGGGCUAGCUCCAAUUGUGUAAAUGGGGCUGAGGCCACAUUUAUCCAGACUGACAAGUGAGGGUAUGUGUUCCAACAAAAAUCUGUUUGAUUUCAGAGGAGUGAUGUCUACAGAAACAUUCUUGUGCUUGACUAGAGAAGACAGGCUUGUGACUGCAGCUGCUAGCAAAGGCAUUCAGCUUCUUCCCCAGGAGAUCUUCAGGCACAAUGUUGAACUUGGAGAUCCAUUUGGAGCCUCCGGGAUAACGGUCACCUGAUUCAGAUUUUCUUAGUUACUGAAGUGUUUGGAGACGAAGAGACCCAGGUUGAGUCCUGAAAGGUCAGCUUUUACACCCCAGAGCAUUCUGCCACUUCAUGAUCAUCUUACGGGAUCCAGAGACACCCUGGUGUUUUCAGAAGGCAAGUGCAUCAUCCGUCCCCUGCUGGUAGUGCUGGUGCUAAGUUUGUGCUGGCAGAAGUGCAUAUUCACUUCCCAGGAGCCUUAGCGGGAGAACUGACCAUCUGAAAGGCUCGUUUUAUCCUGACAAACCAAAGGUUGUGACUUUGAGCAGUGCUGUGGGUUUACAUAAUGGGUUUUUACCAUGGCAAAACUUCCUCACAAUAGUGAGCUAUAAUCCUGCUGGAAAGAGCAAAUCAUGUCUAGGUGUAAGGGAGCAAUGACGACCAUCUGGGUCCUCAAACCUGAGAUGCAGAAUGGUGCCCUGAGUAGCCAGCUUCUCAGCUACACUAAUGACCAGAUGGGGGAUGGGGGUUGUUCCCUAAGAAGAUGGAGUUGGGUUGUUCCUUCAAUUGCUCCCUAAAGUCACCUCAUUGAAGCUUCCCCUGACCAACCUGUUUAAAAUCUGGCCCACAGAGGCUCCCAAUCCUCCUCUGUCUACUGUACUUUACCAUUUUCAUGCCAUGUAUCCUUUUAGUGUAGCAUAAUUAGCUCGUGUUGGAUUUUCAUCAUACUUCUGUAUUAGGAUGUAAGUUCCACAGUGGCGGGAUCUUUGUGUGUGUGGUUCACCACAUUAAACUGAAUCAUAUAAAGUGAAAUCUCUGUUUUAAGGACUGCUGCAAUGCUAUGUCCUAAGAAUAUAAAACAAUGCUGGUACGUAGUAGGCCCUCAAUAAAUAUUUAUUGAUGAACA